Molecule: long non-coding RNA, 310 nt
Filed under: Chinchilla lanigera (long-tailed chinchilla)
Lineage: Eukaryota; Metazoa; Chordata; Mammalia; Rodentia; Chinchillidae
Description: lncRNA (ENSCLAG00000024102.1)
Source: RNAcentral
CGGAAACCGAAGGAGCGUGCAGGGCUGGGCAGGGCCAGCGCCCUCCCGCAACAGCCCCUCGGAGCUGUCCCCUUCAGGAGAGAGCAGCACCAUUCUCCCACAGAUGAGGCUGUGCAGGGGGCCUCAGCCCUUCGCCUCCAAGGGGUCUGAGCAGCGCCCCAGCUGUGGCCAUAGGAGAAGCAGGCCCGUGGGGACACUGAGACAAAGCGUCCCCAGCCCAGAGUGGCAGUGUGGUGACCUCCUGGGCCGGCGAAGGAGAGUCAGGGAGCUUGCUGGAGGCAGUGACGUGUGGCCUUGGCUGGGACAGUAG